This is a long non-coding RNA of Acanthopagrus latus (yellowfin seabream), 609 nucleotides long. RefSeq lists it as uncharacterized. Lineage: Eukaryota; Metazoa; Chordata; Actinopteri; Spariformes; Sparidae. The record is from RefSeq and is a predicted model, not a curated record. The transcript is spliced from 3 exons.
GGAAAAGUAUGGAAGUGCUCCACCAAAGGACAAGAGGACACAAUAUGCAUUGGGGAUUGUAACACUGUUCCCUUCCCUAAGAGAUCCCUACUCCAGAAAGGGCUAUGAGCAUUUCUUUGAUGCAGAGAGCAAUGAGGGCUACAUUGCAUGGAAACUAAAAAACACACAGCGAGGACUCAGUUCUGGCAAUAACAGUGGAGUCAAGAGAAGGACCUCUCAAACCACAGAGAGCAGCGGACUGGAGCUGGCGAAAGGUUUUAACUUUUAUGUUUGAUCUUUUACACAUCUGUUUUUUUUUUAAAUCUCAGUGAUGAUAUAAAAAAAAUAAUUUGUCAAGCUUAUUUUGCACCAUGGCUUCGUACCUUUGGCAGUGUUUGAUGUUUGGUGUAUGAACUAAUUUAUGGUUCAGUUUCAGAUUACACCUGUUGACAGUACUGCAGCACCCGCUGAAUGUCAUGUUGUACAUUAACAGGCUGAGUAUAUUGUUCUUUAAAGGACAGGUUCAGAUUUUUGAAGGCUGUAUCACCCAAAGUUACAGUAUCUGUGUUUCAGCAGACAAUGUUUCCUUGCUGAGCUGUAGUGGAGCACUAGUAAUUCAAAGAGGGAUUU